Candoia aspera is the source of this 1697-nucleotide long non-coding RNA. RefSeq lists it as uncharacterized. The transcript is spliced from 4 exons. NCBI's taxonomy places the organism in Eukaryota, Metazoa, Chordata, Lepidosauria, Squamata, Candoiidae. The record is from RefSeq and is a predicted model, not a curated record.
GACUCUCAAAGGCAUUUUCUAACACCAGCCAUCUUCUGUGUUUUAAAUCUAAGCUAAAGUGCCAAAUUAAGUUCCCUCACUGAACAUCUCUGUUAUUCCCUCAGCAAAUGAAUAUUCCAAGCAGCCAAACAGUCACUCCAACCAGUCAGUAUUGGAAGGUUCAAUUUCAUAUCUGAAAGAAGAAGUAAAAGAAGGAUUGCCCCACAUGGAAACUACAGAAGCAACUGAGACCGCUCUUAAAAUGGCUAGCUGAAAGCAGACGCAACCUGGCUCCAUGUUACAUUUAGGCCACAAUUUCCCUUCUUCUUAAUACAAUAACCUUAUUAAUUGUUAAAUGAGCCUUGUGAACGUUCUUCAUAGUUGAGAGGAAUAUAUUUUAUGCUAUCUGAACACCAACUGGGCAUUUAGCCAUAAAGGGUGAGGGCAGUUGCAGUGCAGAGUGAGUUUUCCAUCUCCUCCAAUCCUGCAAUUUGGCUCCAAGUUUUUAAUCUACUCUUUGCAAGUAAGCAAAGCAAAACUAGGCAAAUCUGAAUGUUGAAAGCUGUCAGCUACAUGAGCAAUGUCAGUGGGGGCCAAGUAUCGUGGGGCUGACAGCUUGUCAGAGUCAGAGGAUAUAUUCUGGGCCAGUAGUCAAGUUAGUGAACAUUCUCUACAGCUCAUUGUGUCCUUGGCUCUUGUGAUAGCAGUGAGGACAUUCAAGGGAGCCAAGCCCUCCAGUUGAACUAGGCAGAGCAUCCGUAUAUGUCUUUAUUAGCUUCCAUCUAGCCUUCCUUUCCCCUUAAAAAAAUGUGCAACCAGAAUCUUUCCACUUUUCCCCCUUCUUCCCUCCCAAACCACUUUUACUUUAUUCUUAAGGGGGUUAUAUACAUGUGUUUAAAAGUUUGGUUUUUCAUUUUUAUCUUGGCAGCAGGGCAAAGUGCUGGUAGUUGUACCAUGCUUUCACUCCCAGUGAAUGAAAAACAUGCAUUGUCCUGAUAAGAGGGUGGCUGAGGAACCCUCAAAGGGAAGCUGAACAGAGCCCACAUGGCCUGGACUCUACUGGUUUGCAUAAGAAGAAGCUAGCAGUCCCUCUGAAGCAAAGUUAUUCAUCAAAGGCACCCCUGCUUUUCAGUAGCUGGUAUCUAGUAUCUUCCUGCAUGUUUGUUUUCAGAAGCAUUCUACUCUGUGAAUGGAAGAGGACCCCAGUUAACAUGAGAAAACUUUAUCUUCCUUUUGAACUCAACCGGCAUGUAGCACUGCCUCUACCUAUUUUUUCCCCACAACAACAUCAACCCUCUACAUGCUGUCCUGUACAACUCUUGCUGUUUGAGGUGUGGGUGCAUGUGGUGCCCCUGAGUCUUCUUUUACACUUGCCGCUUGCUAUAAAUAGCACUUUUUCUUCAAACAUUCAACUUUCUCAGGAGAUUUUGUUUACAGCUCUAAACGUUUGAUAAAGAUGUUGGGUUAAAUGCAGAACAGCCAGUUUAAAUACCAGAACAUGUCAGUCUUGUAAAAGUAUCUCACUCUUUAUUAGAACCAUCAAGUGGAAACAAAACAUUUAGAAGUGUAUGCAAUCCAGUAAUGUAAGCUUUCUUAAAAACAUUAUAUAGAUAUAACAAUGAAUUACAGUAUUUGAGAGUUGCUGUUAAAAAUCUGAAAAAAAAGCAAUGAACAUUACUGUAAAUGCAAUGCAGCUUGUAAAUGCCAUUAUCAGAGUU